RNAcentral lists this ribosomal RNA (253 nucleotides) under uncultured bacterium. Its description in RNAcentral is "partial 16S ribosomal RNA". It matches the Rfam family "Bacterial small subunit ribosomal RNA", at positions 524 to 776 of the family's 1533-position model. The record is from RNAcentral.
UACGUAGGUGGCAAGCGUUAUCCGGAAUUACUGGGCGUAAAGGGCGUGUAGGCGGGAAGACAAGUCGGGAGUGAAAUCCCAGGGCUUAACCCUGGAGCUGCUUCCGAAACUGUCUUUCUUGAGUGUCGGAGAGGAAAGUGGAAUUCCCAGUGUAGCGGUGAAAUGCGUAGAGAUUGGGAGGAACACCAGUGGCGAAGGCGACUUUCUGGACGAUAACUGACGCUGAGGCGCGAAAGCGUGGGGAGCAAACAGG